This 103-nucleotide microRNA precursor is filed under the name Marmota monax (woodchuck). Lineage: Eukaryota; Metazoa; Chordata; Mammalia; Rodentia; Sciuridae. The record is from RNAcentral.
AGUGGGAUAGCUGGGUCAAAUGGUGAUUCCAUUCCACGUUUUCUGAGUAAUCUCCAUACUGCUUUCCAGAGUGAUUGCACCAAUUUGCAGUCCCACCAACAAU